AGACUUUCGUAAGGUCCUGGAAUCCAUCGAUUGCAAGCACUGGCAAAUCAAGCCACCUUAUGACUUGGAGCACAUGUACAGAAAUAGGAAGGACUUGUGCUCCCUAAAUGUACAAGUCUUUUGCAACGGUAGGGGUGUCAUCAUCCAGCCGACCUCAAAGGGGCCUGGAAGCACGCAUGGCAGCCUCAUAUGGAUGGACUGUGCUCUGCCUGGGAGCUUCAAGGGCAGAAAACUGCCUAAUGGCUGGUUGCUAGGUGACUCUCGCUAUGCCUGAGAGCCAUGGGUGCUCACCCUCCUGUCCGUGGCUGGCCCAGCUAAGCAGCAGUGCAGUGCAGCCCCCACCCGUGCAAGACAAGUCAUACAGUGCACCUUUGGUGUUCUGAGCACGACACAGCAUAUCCGUCCGGCAUGGCAUUGACAGCAAUAGUGAUGAUGCAGUACCAUGGGAUCAGGUGCCUCACUGUCAUCUAAUUGAACAGUGUAUCUCGGACAAAACGC
This is a long non-coding RNA of Rhipicephalus sanguineus (brown dog tick), 498 nucleotides long. RefSeq lists it as uncharacterized. The transcript is spliced from 3 exons. NCBI's taxonomy places the organism in Eukaryota, Metazoa, Arthropoda, Arachnida, Ixodida, Ixodidae. The record is from RefSeq and is a predicted model, not a curated record.